RNAcentral lists this unclassified non-coding RNA (277 nucleotides) under uncultured fungus. Its description in RNAcentral is "sequence contains ITS1". The record is from RNAcentral. Lineage: Eukaryota; Fungi.
GUAUUAAUUUUUUGUUGUUUAUAACCAUUCUAAUACUUUUAAUUGGAGUAUAGGUUUAAAACAUAGAUCUGAAAAAAUACAAGAAAGAGCUGGGCAUAAAAACCACAGCAAUUCCUCUGACCAAGAUGUUACCCAUCUUGAAAAGUAUUCAGAUCUACAAAAAGUGCACAGGUGGGUUUAUAAAAUUGGAAUAAGCGUGCACAUUCUCCAAAGAGAUAGCAGCAGCGUAAACCAAGUUUAUUCAAUAAUGAUCCUUCCGCAGGUUCACCUACGGAAA